GACUGUGCUAAGGUAGCAUAAUAAUUUGUCUCUUAAUUGGAGGCUGGAAUGAAUGGGUUAACUUGAGCUUAACUGUCUCUUUUUAGAACAAAAACUUUAGUUUUAAGUAAAAACGCUUAAAUCCUCUAGAGGGACGAGAAGACCCUUCAGAUCUUUCCCAAUAAGCAUGAAGUGGUAAUUCUACUUAAAGGGUUACCUGGGAGGGGGUUCAAAUGAUAAACUUUAAAAUAAACAUAAAGACUUAGACUUUAAUGCUAUUGUCUAACUUGUUGAUCCUUAUUGGAUAGAUUGAAAAGAUACCUGAGGGAUAACAGCGUAA
Molecule: ribosomal RNA, 319 nt
Filed under: Polyplax arvicanthis
Lineage: Eukaryota; Metazoa; Arthropoda; Insecta; Psocodea; Polyplacidae
Description: partial 16S ribosomal RNA
Rfam family: Archaeal large subunit ribosomal RNA
Source: RNAcentral